GUGAGGAAUAUUGCGCAAUGGAGGCAACUCUGACGCAGCCAUGCCGCGUGCAGGAAGAAGGCGCUACGCGUUGUCAACUGCUUUUAACCGGGAAGAAACCCCAGGCCGUGUCCUGGGUUGACGGUACCGGAGGAAUAAGCACCGGCUAACUUCGUGCCAGCAGCCGCGGUAAUACGAAGGGUGCAAGCGUUAUCCGGAUUCAUUGGGUUUAAAGGGUGCGUAGGCGGAGCGUUAAGUCAGUGGUGAAAUCCUGCAGCUUAACUGUAGACUUGCCAUUGAUACUGGCGCUCUUGAGUGCGCUUGAAGUGGGCGGAAUGUGCCGUGUAGCGGUGAAAUGCUUAGAUAUGGCACAGAACACCAAUUGCGAAGGCAGCUCACUAAGGCGAUACUGACGCUGAGGCACGAAAGCGUGGGGAUCGAACAGGAUUAGAAACCCGGGUAGUCC
RNAcentral lists this ribosomal RNA (445 nucleotides) under uncultured bacterium. Its description in RNAcentral is "partial 16S ribosomal RNA". It matches the Rfam family "Bacterial small subunit ribosomal RNA", at positions 354 to 796 of the family's 1533-position model. The record is from RNAcentral.